Molecule: ribosomal RNA, 467 nt
Filed under: uncultured bacterium
Lineage: Bacteria
Description: partial 16S ribosomal RNA
Rfam family: Bacterial small subunit ribosomal RNA
Source: RNAcentral
GACGAACGUUGGCGGCGUGCUUAACACAUGCAAGUCGAACGGAAAGGCCUCUUUCGGGGGGUACUCGAGUGGCGAACGGGUGAGUAACACGUGAGUAACCUGCCCUUGACUUUGGGAUAACUUCAGGAAACUGGGGCUAAUACCGGAUAGGAGCUCCUGCUGCAUGGUGGGGGUUGGAAAGUUUCGGCGGUUGGGGAUGGACUCGCGGCUUAUCAGCUUGUUGGUGGGGUAGUGGCUUACCAAGGCUUUGACGGGUAGCCGGCCUGAGAGGGUGACCGGCCACAUUGGGACUGAGAUACGGCCCAGACUCCUACGGGGGGCAGCAGUGGGGAAUAUUGCACAAUGGGUGGAAGCCUGAUGCAGCAACGCCGUGUGCGGGAUGACGGCCUUCGGGUUGUAAACCGCUUUCGCUCAUGACGAAGCUUUGCGUGACGGUAGUGGGUAAAGAAGCACCGGCUAACUACGUG